CUUCAUUUCUUUCCUUCCUCCCGCUCUGUUCCCUGUUAGUUAAAUGCAGGUUUAAUAAGAUGAAUUUCCGCAUCAACCAUCUUUUAUUGAAAAGCUCAUCUGUUCUUGAAAUGUUUAUGCCUCACAUUAGCCAUUCUGAAUGGGUGCUUGCACAAACUGCAAAUAAGAAGUAAGAGCAAAGUAGGAAGUAAAUGGCCAGUUCAGUUUAAGCAAGGAGGAACAUAAUUUUGCUCCAUUGUCCUUCACCUGCAAGCUGCAAAUAAAAAAAUAUUUUCCAUGUAAUGACCAAAACUCUUCUUUACAUGUCACAAUUUGUAUGUUCUCUGUUUAAGCCAACAUGAAAACCAGGCAGCCCCAGGUUGGGCAUCCUGCUGCUUCUCUCAGCCUCCAGUGAUGAUAAUGAGUGUAGAGGGGAGGAGACCGAUAUCCAGAGGGAUUUAGCUGAAGGGGAUCAUGCAGUCCAGGAGAGAGCAAAGUAGAGCUGUGGCACAGAUGAAUCCCUGUGCUUUCUCUAGCAGACAAUUGUAAUACCUACUGUUGGUGUGAAAAAGAAUCUCUUUUCUACUUGCAUUUCCUUUGAAUCGUUGCUACUGAAUGUGACUGGUGCUCUGAAAGUAUGUUACAAAGAGACCUGGCAGGAAGGUGAGAGAAAGCAGGUGACUACUUUCUGUUACUUUGCAUUUAGGGGUGCCACUGUUGCCCACAAGCAGGCAGUGCUUCAGCUUGACAGUUGUUUGAGCUCAGUCUCCUGCAGGAAAUAAAGAAGCCACAAGCAUGACCUUCAUCCCCACAGAAACUCAGAUUUGUUCCUGAGGCCUUCAAGGAAACGAUAAGAUUGAUGAUAACUGAAGAAGAAGAAACAACAUGUAUAUCUAUAAAUGGGAUCCUGAGAGUAUAUCCCAAAUGCACAGCAGUGGGGAAGUAUUAACUUUGCUACUACUGAAUUACAAACAGCAGCCACAGGAAGGAGGAUGCAUGGAUGCUUUCACCUUUCCAUCCCAAGUUUACAAGAAAGAAAGGAGGGGGAAGCCUUGGAGAGCUGUUCCAAAUCUUCAGUCUCAAGACCAACCCUGGAUCCAUGAGGAGUCAGAGCUCUUUUCAGGCUGUAUUAAUUCAUGCUGUAGAGGCAUAAUCCCAGUUGGUCUUGAUGUUGCCAUAGAUGUGAGGAAUUCUUCUUCACCCCUGAGCCUGAUGCAGGCCCCAGUGGAAGAGCAGGAGGCUGAGUGUUGGCUUCAAUGUUCUUCUAGUGUUUUCUUUUCCAGCUGUUUCUAUAAUGCUGCAAAACUCUCCCAAAAUUAUAUUCUACGUCUGUUGCAUGCUUUGAAUCUUAAAAAUCUAAGUGAUAUAUAUUUUAACUGCUUUUUGUUACCUUUCAAUGCAGGAUGGAUGUUGCAUCUUAUGAUAGUUCUGCAUGAGUUGAUUUUUGUAAGAAUUCAGAGUGAAAACUGGAAAAUAUUUUGUGGUUUCACUGAAAGAUUAGAAAUAGAGACUUAUAGUCCAAGUGGCUCAAUUUUAUUUCAGGUUUAUUUACAGAGGCUGAGAUAUUUGCAGUGGUUAUCAUGAUAAUACUCUUUUCAGUUUCUGGGCUAUUCUGUAGCCAGUUGAUUAAAUCAGGGAGAAAGAAAUGAAAGUGAAAACGCAAUAAACCUAUUUUUUCUCCAAAUGAGAAAGCCACAGCAUCCAAAUUCUUGCGCUAGACAUUCUAGCGAUAAGCUUCCUGACUCACAGUGACAAAACUCAGCCCUAAUAAAGGACUGCCGUGCAAUUAGAGUCAUCUUGUGAAGAUUAAACUGCUCUGCCCUCUGGGAAACACUGCUUUUAUCUCAUUAAGGAUUCUUGCCACUUUACAAUUAAUAAAACACAAAAGAUUCACCUCUGUUGCAGAUAGAAGAUAACUGGAGAAUGGCAGCCAGACAAAGGCUCACCUGCAUCCAUAUGGAUGCCAAUAGCAGUGAGCUACCAUCACCUGCCCUGGUUGCAGGAAAUUAUGUGACUGGCUCCCACCAGAGUGUUUUAGACCUCUGUGACAGGACUGAAAUGGCAGCAACUAUAAUAAAAAGAGGAUUUUUUUUCUUUUUGCCCUACAAAUAGUUUUAGUUCUGAAGGGUGUUUUGUGACAGUUUAAUCUAGAGAAUACUCUCCAUCUCCUUUUCACAUUUUGACUGACUUUGUGAUGGAAAGCGUUUGAAAAUGCAGACUAUGCUUCUUAAAAUUAUCUCGUAUUGUGAGGAGGUGAGCAUGGACUUUGAUACUGUAUCCCCCAAAUCAGCAGGUUGUUGACACUUUCUCACAUCUUCCUUUUGCCAUUAUAAUCCAAAGGAGGUCUGCACUCGUACUGAUUUCACUAUAGGUUUACCAUGCAUGAGGUUGUAGCAAAAGACUAGACUUAAUCUCUGCUGCUGACAGUACAGAUACUUGGAGCAAGGCACUAAAUCUUGGCUUGAUGGCUUGUGAGAAGUAGUAGAUCAAGCCAAAUAUAGUUCAGCCUGGUGAGGAACUAUUGCUUUGAAUUUGAUAACACCUAUUACAAAGCAUUGACUUAUUCCUGCCAGUUGCAGGAAGGUGCUGCCUGUGCUUAGAACGUGAUGCUGUGGUGCAGUGUGUGAGGUGGAGUAAUCACUGGGAAGGAAGGAGGAAAAUGCAGUCCAGGAUUUAAAAUGCAAGUAUACUCCUGUGAUCUAGAAUGGGUUAAUGGUAGUGGCCAUCUUUACAGUGAUUCUUAUGAGAUCUAGAUGAAAUUUCAACUGCCUACUGUGAGGAUUUUGAAUCACUUGAAUGAAAAAUGUAGCCUUAAAUAAACACUAGAGUGUCCCUGUUUCUUAUACUAUUGGAUUUCUGCAAACUUCAAAUCAUUCAGAUAGUCUUAAAAUUCUGGUAAAGAGUAAAUGCAUGAGACAACAUAUAGUAUAGUACGAAGGUUCUUGUAGAGAAAGAAGAUUUGGUUCCUUAAACCUGCACCUGGGACACCAGUGAGACAAGUGUUUGAAAAUUUAUCCGUCUUCCUUUGCUGAGAGAAAGGACUAAGAAGAGCAUAUAGGUGAAAUGUAUUCAUUCUGAGAUGAUUUCAGCUAAGUAUAUACAGUUUCCUCCUCCUUCCAUUCAAGUUUUGCUAUUUGUUAAAAUACGAAUUAGAAGACAGAGACAAUAUCUUGAAGUUUUCACAAUGCAAAUAGGCAAUGCAAGCAGGGCAAUACUGCCUUUCAAUGUGCUUGUAGGUAUACAGCUUCUUUCUAGAAAUGAGAUGUGAAAUGUUAUAUGAAACGUUGCGUGUGUUUGAACUGUGGCAGGAGAUCAUCUGACUUCCUUGAGGAAACUACGGAUUUUUAACAGGCUUUUGUUACAAUGAUGGCAACAAGAAAAACCAAAAUGGUAAAUGAGCAACUUCUGUGGUUCUUAAUCCUGCUCUAUUUCUCUUUGUAAGCCCAAGGUUGAUAGCAUGACUGAUAACUAGCACUGGGCAGCAAGGAAUUUUCUAUAAAGAGGCUGAAAUAUGCCUUGUGGUAGGCAUAGGCAUUUUGGAUGACAUUAAUUAGAAUAAUGAAUGACAUGGCAGAUAAUUGACACACCAGAUGCUUAUGUCUUCUACCAUUCAUUCACUGCCUGCCAAUUCAGAUUGCAUCUAAAGAUCAUUUCAUUUCCUGCUGGCACCCGAUGUAUACAAACAAUUAGCACUGUGCAAUGCCUUUUAGGUCUUUUGGUUACAUGCUGAGUUAAUUGCUGGUAUGUUUUGAUGGCCACCACAGUGCUAUCCUUAUGUGAAAAAAACGUUGUUAUUUUUAAACUGGAAGUGGGACACUUCAUGGGAGCUUAUUCUGUAUUUAAUUUCUGUUAGAACUUAAGUAACUUAUGUAAGAACUAUUAAGAAAAGAUAUUUUUCUUACACCUCCUCUUCUCUGGACCUUCCGCAUGUUUGAUCUAACCCUCAGGACACAGCUGUUCCAACAAACUGUGUAGGAAAAGUUUUGCUUUUGUUAUACUUGUCUUUGAGUGUCAUCAAAUAUCUGGCCUUUUAAUUGCUCUUUACUUCCAGGAGUAAUAGAAUCAAUAAGUGCAGUGUUCAAGUAAUAUUGCUUUCUCUCCAAAGAAAUGGAAGUUUUUAAAAGUUCCUAACCAUGAGAUCAUCAUUUCUGUAUAUUCUUAUAGUGCUUUUAAGGAGACUUUUCAACUUGUAAAAAUAGCGCUAUAUUAUUUUAGAUUUAGAUUUAUUUUGUGCCUCUCUCUCUUUUUUUUUCUUAGCUUUUUUUCUAAUUUCUAGACAUAUUUAUUGUAAAGAAAACUGC
This is a long non-coding RNA of Meleagris gallopavo (turkey), 4280 nucleotides long. Lineage: Eukaryota; Metazoa; Chordata; Aves; Galliformes; Phasianidae. The record is from Ensembl.